Molecule: ribosomal RNA, 1086 nt
Filed under: Triticum aestivum (bread wheat)
Lineage: Eukaryota; Viridiplantae; Streptophyta; Magnoliopsida; Poales; Poaceae
Description: partial small subunit ribosomal RNA
Source: RNAcentral
AUGGUUAAUAGAUCAUUUGAGUUGCACUUGCACGGCUCACUUGGCCUCAGCUGGUUUGGGUUUCUGGCCGGAGUAGUCUUUGGCGGUCCGGCUGCCGGGCGGCGGGCCGGACUCAGCGAGCAUCUGCACGACGUCGGCCAUGGUGGGGCGGAGGCCGGGGAUGCUGCAGGUGCACCGGACGGCCACGCGCAGCGCCUGCACCAUCUCGUCCUUGAAGGGGCUCCACGCGAGCCGCUUGUCCAGCGCCUCCGCCUCCGCCGCGGCGGCCACCUUGCCGGUUACCCACUGCACGAUGUCCAUCGUCUCCCCGAACUCCGGCUCGAUCGGCUUCUUCCCCGUGGCCAGCUCCAUGAGCACCACCCCGAAGCUGUACACGUCGCACUUGGUCGUGGCCUUGGACGAGUAGGCGUACUCCGGGGCCAGGUACCCGUACGUGCCGGCGAUGGUGGUGGUCGACGAGGUGUCGCCGCCGCCUGCACCGCCGCAGCGGGUGGCCUGGAGCACCUUGGCGAUGCCGAAGUCGGCCACCUUGGGCUCGAAGUCGGCGUCGAGCAGGAUGUUGGACGACUUGACGUCGCGGUGCACGAUGGCGAACAGGAGGUCGUGGUGGAGGUAGGCCAGGCCCUGGGCCACGCCGAUGGCCACGCGGCGGCGCGUGGGCCAGUCGAGGAACCCGAAGCCGCCCCACCCGCCGCCGGCGCCGCCGUGCAGCGCGUCCCACAGGUUGCCGUUGGGCAUGUACUCGUACACCAGCAGGUUGCAGUCGGCGCCCGAGUAGCAGCAGUAGAGCUUCACGAUGUUCUUGUGCCGGAUGCUGCCCAGCGUCUCCACCUCCGUCCGCAGCUCGCGGCUGUCGUCCUCCUCGCCGCCGCCGCCGUAGCCACGGCCAUGCCCAUGCCCAUGGCCGCGAUGCUGAUGCUGCUUCUGCCGCUGCUGCUUGGACUUGGAGGAGGACACCCACAGCUUCUUCACCGCCACCAGCUCGCCGCUGCUCAGCUCGAUCUUGUACACCGUGCCGGAGCCGCCGUGCCCGACGAUGUUCUUGUCGAUCAGCGCCUCCACGAUCUCGUGCUGGUCGAAGUUUAG